Globicephala melas (long-finned pilot whale) is the source of this 452-nucleotide long non-coding RNA. RefSeq lists it as uncharacterized. The record is from RefSeq and is a predicted model, not a curated record. Lineage: Eukaryota; Metazoa; Chordata; Mammalia; Artiodactyla; Delphinidae.
AGCGCCGGUGUCUCAGUUCGCAAUGAAGGGAGCAAAGUGUCGCCUCCGAAUCUGUUACAGGGCCUUUUCCUAGAAGACCAGGGGGCUGAAGACAAAGCUCACGUGAUUCCAGGGGACCCACCCGGCUAAUCCAGGAUAAUCUCUCCAUUUCAAGGUUGAGUGACAGAUUCCACACUGAACUCAAAAUCACGCUCUCCAAAGAUAAAGAAACUGAAGCUCAGAGAGGUGAAUGACCUUCUGGCGGUCACACAGCCAGGAAGAGGUGGAGCCUGGAUCUUCUGUCCCUGGGCCCUUUGGAGCAGGUGGGCUCCAAAGAUAUACUCUGCUGAUUUCUUAAAGGCUGCUGAAGGGUUGCUGCUAAUGACUCCCAGCUGCCCCUUCGCUGGAGACGAGCCCUCAGCCAAACGAGAGGCAUCCCCCGGAAGGCCGGCCCACCCUGCCUUCCUUUCCCG